GACGAAGGGGACUAGCGUUGUUCGGAAUUACUGGGCGUAAAGCGCGUGUAGGCGGUUGUUCAAGUUGGAUGUGAAAGCCUUGAGCUCAACUCAAGAAAUGCAUUCAGGACUGAGCAGCUAGAGGACCGGAGAGGAUAGUGGAAUUCCCAGUGUAGUGGUGAAAUACGUAGAGAUUGGGAAGAACACCAGUGGCGAAGGCGGCUAUCUGGACGGUUUCUGACGCUAAGACGCGAAAGCGUGGGGAGCAAACAGG
This 253-nucleotide ribosomal RNA is filed under the name uncultured bacterium. Its description in RNAcentral is "partial 16S ribosomal RNA". It matches the Rfam family "Bacterial small subunit ribosomal RNA", at positions 524 to 776 of the family's 1533-position model. The record is from RNAcentral.